GCACUCUCAGAUUUGCUCAGACUCUUGAGAUGCCCAAGAUGAAUGCCAGGAAGCUGAAGUGCCUGAAUAUUUGAGCCGCCUGUGCUCCAAGGUAUCAGUGUAACCUCUGGGUGUCCUCCUCAGGACUUGGUAGGUCUGCGAGGGUGCCAGAUGUCCUGUUCAGAGAGAAAAGGGGAUUUGCAGUGAAAAUGUGCACCACCCGAGAGUUCAAAAUAAGAACACAGUGAAACUGACGAGCCCCUGCAGAACUUUUCAAUUUUGUUGAAUCAACAUUUUCAAACAGAAAAUUAGUCCAUUGGAAAAUUUUCAACCAGUAGUACUUUUGGAGACAGUACCAAUACAAGUAAUUCUCCCUCAGUGUGAUGGGGUGGGACCCACCAUGCCAGCGCCUCCUACUGGUCGUCUUGUGGAUCAGCUCCACAA
Chelonia mydas (Green sea turtle) is the source of this 423-nucleotide long non-coding RNA. RefSeq lists it as uncharacterized. The transcript has 3 exons. Lineage: Eukaryota; Metazoa; Chordata; Testudines; Cheloniidae. The record is from RefSeq and is a predicted model, not a curated record.